UCAAGUUGUUUUCUUGAUUAGUCCCAAUACAAGUACCUGGAUGUUUCAGUUGAAGGUAUUGUAUUUACUCACCCCUUCCAUUCCUCUCCAUGAGAGCUGCAUCUAGUUGGCCAUCUUGGCCACUCCUUCCCAGUUUUUUAUAAAUAGGAUUACACUACAGAUAUUUUUAUAAUGCACAUUUUUACUCAUAAACCUGGCAUGGGUGUGUUUGCAUGUCAAUAAAUCUAGAGCUACCAAAUCAUUUUUAUGAACCAUAAAAUAUUUUUUAAGGUAAAUACCAUAACUAAUAUGUCCAGUCUUUUGUUAAUGAACAUUUCAAUUGCUUCCAGUUUUUCACUAUUAUAAAUUAUGCUGCCAUGAACUUAUAUGUACAUAUGUUUGAAUUUUGCAUGAGUAGUGUAAAUUCAGGGAGAAAUUGCUGGGAGGAAGGUAAGCACAUUUAUUAUUUCCAAGUUUAAUAUUACCAGAAGGAGAGUGUAUCUUUUCUUUUGUAUAAUGCAUGGGAAAGACAAUGGAGAGGAGGAUGCCUAAAUGUAAAUGAAUUGAGAGAAAGAAGUUCACGCUUUGUUCCACCAAGAGUAGGUAGAAACUUCCUAGAAUAGAUGAUAGAAUCUGUUCUGCAUCUGUAAGCCAUUCUGUGGGUCUUUAAAAUCUUUCUUUGUUAUGGAAUCUUGUAUUCCAGUGUAUGACAAUCUUCAGCAUAGCAGAAAAUUUAUUAAAGUUUUAUCAAAAGUGUAAAUUUGGUGUGGGUAGCAAGAAGAAGGAUUUUGUUGGAGUAGAAUAAUGCCACAGCCUAUGUGCAUUUCAUCCACUUCUCCUCUUGCUCCAAGCCAACCUGUGGACUCCCUCAUGAUACCAGUUCUGUUGUGGUGUCUUGUAAAGUUACUCAUGAUCUCCUCCUGGUAUUCAUGUGGCUCCUUCACAAAUAUUUUAUUCCCACAUCCCUGUUGAAGAAAAUGAUAGCGUUUGAUAUAUUUAUUUCCUCAUCUCUUUUUCUCUGCCUUACAUUAGAUAAGUACUCUGAAAAGACAAGUUGGAAGAAGUUAGAGUUUUAGGGUUGAGGACACAGGUUUUGGGGUCUGUGUUAGGGUAAUGCAAGAAUAUGCUGUGGCGGCAACAAAAACAACAACAACAACAACAAGAACAGCAACAAAACCAGAAAAUCUCUGGAGUGUUAGGGGAUUAACAUAACAAAGGUUUGUUUCUUGCUUUCAGAAAGUCUAAUGCACAUCUCGUGAUUCCUCACAGUAACCCUCUUCCACAUGGUGUCUCAUGGAUUCAGGCUCUGUAUUUGAAGACUGUACCAUCUCAACUCAUGGCUUUGAGAGUUACUGCUUUUAAAUGCCUCAGCUCAGAAAAGGCACACACAUCAUUGUAAUUUGCUCCUUGUUUUGCUCUCACCUACUGGGCACAUGACCUCAGUCUAAGUGCAUGGAGGCUGGAAGAUGCAGGGUAGCACACAGAAUAUUUGAGGCAUGGUUUGCAUAUCCAUCAUAGUUCAUGACUGACAAUCUAGAGGUUGGAGCUAACAUUGAAAAACAUAUUGAUUAUUAUGGGACCAAGUGUUUCCCAAAU
RNAcentral lists this long non-coding RNA (1575 nucleotides) under Homo sapiens (human). RNAcentral describes it as "HSALNT0064753". The record is from RNAcentral. Lineage: Eukaryota; Metazoa; Chordata; Mammalia; Primates; Hominidae.